This is a non-coding RNA of Acipenser ruthenus (sterlet), 79 nucleotides long. Lineage: Eukaryota; Metazoa; Chordata; Actinopteri; Acipenseriformes; Acipenseridae. The record is from the annotation of a RefSeq genome assembly.
GGCUCGUUGGUCUAGGGGUAUGAUUCUCGCUUUGGGUGCGAGAGGUCCCGGGUUCCGGGUUCAAAUCCCGGACGAGCCC